Non-coding RNA from Pelobates cultripes (western spadefoot toad), 1314 nucleotides. The record is from the annotation of a GenBank genome assembly. NCBI's taxonomy places the organism in Eukaryota, Metazoa, Chordata, Amphibia, Anura, Pelobatidae.
GGACUUCUCAGAUAACGUGCACCCUCUGUGUAGGUUUGUCAGGAUAGCGUCUAGGUCGGGGUGUUUCAACUCCCCGUUGAGGUAACAGCUACAUUACAGAGGGGAGAAGGGUAGUUAGGUAUAAGUGGGAGCGCAGCAGCGGGUAAUAAUAACCAUCAAAAAUAACGUAAGAGAGUUAUAAUACUGUUAGUACGCAGUUCUUCUGUAUGAUCUGGUUUUCCUUCUGGCUUGUUGGUCGCUGCAGAUGAACUGUGUGUCUUGGGCCAGUCAAGUGGCUAGGAGUGCAGGCGGGCGUCCUGUGGUUGACCGUGGCGCGAAGGUAGGGAUCUUAGACGGGUCCAGGUUUCGGAGGCGGGAGGUUGAGUCUUGUUCCGGUAGUAGCUUCAGGCUGCGCAUGUUGGCCUCUAGUUCCAGAGGGUUCUUGGCUCUGUAAGUGCCUCCCUGGUGAGUGAGUAUGAGUUGUCUGGGGUUUCCCCAGCGGUAAGGCACGUCCUGGGCUCUCAGGAUUUGGAGUAGUGGUUUCAUUGACCUGCGCCAGAGUAAUGUCUUCUUGGUGAGGUCAGGGAAUAGGAGCAGAGAUGAGCCUUCAAAUUGGAUUGGGGUUUUCCCUCUCACUGCAGAUAAGAUUAGAGCUUUGUCGUGCAUUGUUUGGAAGCGGAGAAUAAGAUCCGCCGUGGCCGUGGCAGGGGCAUUUUUUGGCAUUGGUAGCCUGAACAUGCCACCCAGUUUUAGUGCCUUUGUUUGUUUGGCCGGUAGCAGGGUUGAGAUGAGACGCCUUAUGUAGUGCGGCGUUUCCUCUGUACUCACUGUGUCAGGGAUGCCCCUCAGUUUAAGGUUGUACCGUCGCCUCUGUUCUUCCAGGGUGUCAACUCUGGCCUCCAUGCCUUUCUGGGCUAGUUGUAUUUCUUCCAGCCUCUGCUCUACUUUAAUUAGUCUGGAAUCCUGGUUGCUAUACGUGGCCUCUAGGGCUGUAAGUCGGGUAAGUGCACCAGCUACUGUCUCUUUAAAUUGUGAGAUGUCGGCUGCUAUAUUGGAGCGCAGCUCCUCCAGCAUUGAUUUCAGCAUAUUUUUAGUGAUCGGUUCUUGGCCAGCAGGUGGUGUAGUUUGUACCUUUGGUACAGCUCCCAGCAUGGCUCCUCCGUCCGUAUCCGCGUGGAAGUCCUCAGAGGAGUAAGAAGAUGUUUCAUCUUCCAUAUGCGGCGCCAUAUUGGGCCAUGCGGUCUGCUGAGCGCGCCGCAGGAGACCGCCGAUAUCUCGGCUGCUGGGCACCCGGUCCGCCUUAGUUUUCUUUGAUUUUCGGCCCAUGUUCCUGCG